AUAAAAGUAGUUAAAAUUUAAUAACUUUGGAUUUGCAUUCUAGGAUUGGGAUUUUUAUCUCCUUUUAUA
Molecule: transfer RNA, 69 nt
Filed under: Astrotoma agassizii
Lineage: Eukaryota; Metazoa; Echinodermata; Ophiuroidea; Euryalida; Gorgonocephalidae
Description: tRNA-Ala
Source: RNAcentral